GAGAAACUCUUCUUAUUAAUUCUUCAGAGAAUUCUUCUAUCAAGUUAUCUCUUUUCUCCUUCAGGAUCAAUCCUUAUAUAGGCAAGGAAAGGAGGAUGAGGACAAUAAAUGAGGGAACAUGGAGAGGGAAUAAAGGGAUAAAGGGGAGAGGAAAGAAAGCAAAAGAGUAAGUGUUCCCUCAUAAUUGAGGGAAUCAAUCACUUUACAAUACUUCCCCUGAUUCCCUACUAUAGAAGAUUAUGUCUCAUUAAAAACCUUGUUAAGAAAACCCAGUGGGAAAAACUUAACGAAGGAAAAAAGAGUACAUAUCUUUUACAUAAAUAUCUUAAUUGACUG
RNAcentral lists this long non-coding RNA (336 nucleotides) under Panax ginseng (ginseng). RNAcentral describes it as "long non-coding RNA (PGIN_LNC010745)". The record is from RNAcentral. Lineage: Eukaryota; Viridiplantae; Streptophyta; Magnoliopsida; Apiales; Araliaceae.